This 253-nucleotide ribosomal RNA is filed under the name uncultured bacterium. RNAcentral's name for it is "partial 16S ribosomal RNA". It matches the Rfam family "Bacterial small subunit ribosomal RNA", at positions 524 to 776 of the family's 1533-position model. The record is from RNAcentral.
GACGAACCAUGCAAACGUUAUUCGGAUUCACUGGGCUUAAAGCGUGCGUAGGCGGCGGUGUUAGUCAGGUGUGAAAGCCCUCAGCCCAACUGAGGAAUUGCGCUUGAUACUGCAUCGCUAGAGAAUGAUAGAGGUGGGUGGAACUGAUGGUGGAGCGGUGAAAUGCGUUGAUAUCAUCAGGAACACCAGUGGCGAAGGCGACCCACUGGGUCAUUUCUGACGCUGAGGUACGAAAGCUAGGGUAGCGAACGGG